GGCGAGAGCAGUUAACGUUGGAUACCAAAUAGCGGCGGACGGGUGAGUAACGCGUGGGCAACCUGCCUUACAGAGGGGGAUAACAGUGCGAAAGCACUGCUAAUACCGCAUGACAUUCAAGAGUUGCAUGACUUUUGAAUCAAAGGAGAAAUCCACUGUAAGAUGGGCCCGCGUCUGAUUAGCUAGUUGGUGAGGUAAUGGCUCACCAAGGCGACGAUCAGUAGCCGAUCUGAGAGGAUGAACGGCCACACUGGAACUGAGACACGGUCCAGACUCCUACGGGAGGCAGCAGUGGGGAAUAUUGCACAAUGGGGGAAACCCUGAUGCAGCAACGCCGCGUGGAGGAUGAAGGUCUUCGGAUUGUAAACUCCUUUGAUGAGGGACGAAUAAUGACGGUACCUCAAAAACAAGCCACGGCUAACUACGUGCCAGCAGCCGCGGUAAUACGUAGGUGGCAAGCGUUGUCCGGAAUUAUUGGGCGUAAAGGGCGCGUAGGCGGUUCUUUAAGUCAGAUGUGAAAUCCCGAGGCUCAACUUCGGGCGUGCAUUUGAAACUGGAGGACUAGAGUGCANGAGAGGUAAGUGGAAUUCCUAGUGUAGCGGUGAAAUGCGUAGAUAUUAGGAGGAACACCAGUGGCGAANGCGACUUACUGGACUGUAACUGACGCUGAGGCGCGAAAGCGUGGGGAGCAAACNGGAUUAGAUACCCUGGUAGUCCACGCUGUAAACGAUGGAUACUANGG
Molecule: ribosomal RNA, 742 nt
Filed under: Lutispora thermophila
Lineage: Bacteria; Bacillati; Bacillota; Clostridia; Lutisporales; Lutisporaceae
Description: bacterial SSU rRNA
Rfam family: Bacterial small subunit ribosomal RNA
Source: RNAcentral